Molecule: long non-coding RNA, 543 nt
Organism: Rhea pennata
Lineage: Eukaryota; Metazoa; Chordata; Aves; Rheiformes; Rheidae
Exons: 3
Source: RefSeq, a predicted model, not a curated record
AGAUGGGAGCACCGUCACCCAGGGCUGCUCGGCGGCGUGUCAGGGCUGUUUUUACUUGAGCCCUGCUGGCUGGUGCAGUUCUUUGUGAGCAGAAGAAAGAAACUCGCCCCCACCCAUUUCCUCUUCUGGGGCUAUUUUGGGCGCGCGGCGCAGUUCGCCGUGUACUUUCUCAGCCCGAGCGGCACUGUGAGCUCCUUCUGGAGUCAUUAUAUUUAAUGAAGAGCGAGGCCCAGGAAGAGGUACCAGGAGCUUAAGGAAUUUGUGGAAUAUUCAAGCUGAGAGGCUAUGGAAUAACGUCAGAAGCGAAGGGUGGAGCUGAGCGCUUGCAUGAGUAACAUCUGCAGGACUGGGCCUGAUCUUCUGCCCAUUGAAAGCAAUAGGCAUCUCGCCAGCCCCGUCACCGGGAGCAGCAUCCAUGCCAGCAAAGAAAAGGGAAACUCAUUGGGCUAUCUGCAUGGCCGGCUCGAGGAGGAAAGGAGAGAGUAAAAAAAAAAAAAAAAAAAAAAUCAGAGGGAAUAAAUUCCUAUUCAAAUAAAUACUUCU